GAAAACUUAUCCACUCCUGUGGUGAUAAAUACCAACUCCCAAAUGUAUAUCUUCAAACCCAGACUUCUCUGAGCUCCAGUCUUGUAUAUCCAACUGUCUUCUCCAUAUCACACUUGAUUGUCUCAAAUUUAACACAUCCCCCACAAAUCCCCUUUCUUCUCUCUCCCAGAUUUCUGUUCAGCCAUUUGUAUUUGCAUGUUUCCAAUUAUUCAGGUCACAAACAGUGGAAUCACCUUGACAUCUCCCUUUCUCUUAUCCCCUGCAUGUAAUCAUCAACAAAUUCUGGCAGCUCUUUCUCUCAAAAAUUUCUAGAAUCCAACCACUUCUCACCCUUCUACUGGCAACCAACCUGGAUUACGCCAUCUUCAUCUAGAUUUUUAGCACAACUGACCUCCAUGUUUGCCCCAUCCAGUCUAUUUUCCACACAGCAGCCAGUGUAACUGUUUACAUUUCAAGUCAUAGCAUGUUUCCUCUCUGUUCAAAAUUCCAAUGGCUUCCCCAGAGCCUUUUCAUGCACAAGGCCCUGUCUAUCUGGCCAUCUGCCUCCUCUCUGACUUCAUUUCACCUUUCUACUCUCUUGGCCCUUCCUUCGCUCUCUAUAGUUACUCUUCCAUCUCUCUGGAGCACACUCCCUUUGAAACCCUCAUGUUUCCCGCUCUCACUUCCUUCAUGUCUCUGCUCAAAUGACACUUUAUCAGAGAAACUUCCCUCACCACACUGUGUGAAAUGGUGCCCCCUCCUCAGGCUUUCUCUAUAUUCUUUAUCUUGCUGUUUACAGCCCCUAUCCUGCUUUUCUCAUCAAAAAUAUUUUUUCUUCAUAAAUAAAUGUGUUUGUGUGUAUAUAUAUGUAUAGAUAUACAUCUGCAAUAUAUACAUAUUUGUAUUACACAUUUAUUAAUGCAGGGAUUGACAAACUAUGGCCCAGGACCAAAUCAAGCCCUGGCCUGAUUUUGUACAGACACAAGCUAAAAAUGGUUUUUAUAUUAUUAAAAGGAUGUAAAAGACAAAGGGGAAAAAAGAUGAAUAAGCAACAGAAAGCAUAUGUGGACUGCAAAACCUAAAAUAUUUAGCACCUGGCCCCUUAUAGAAAAAGGUUGCCAGCUCCUGUAUUGUCUCCCACUAGAAUAUAAACUCCUUGAGCUCAGGGACUUUGUUUUGGUCACUGUAAGAUACCCAGCACAUAGAAGAGUUCCUGGUUCAAAGUAGAUGCUAAGUAAACAUUUUUAAAAGAAUGAAUGAAUAAAGAUAAUGAGUUUUGUUUGUUUGUUUGUUUUUGAGACCAGGUCUCACUCUGUUGCCCAGGCUGGAGUGCAAUGGUGUGAUCAUGGCUCACUGCAAGCUCGACCACUUGGGCUCAAACAGUCCUCCCACCUCAGCCUCCCAGGUAGCUGAGACCACAGGUGUAUGCUCAGCUAAUUUUUUUUAAUAUUUGUAGAGACUGAGGUCUCACUAUGUUGUCCAGGCUCAUCUCUAACUCCUAGGCUCAAGCAGUCUUCCUGCCUCAGCUUCCCAAAGUGCUGGAUUAUAGAGGUGAGCCACUUCUCUCAGCCCAACACUGAGUCUUAGUGAGGUCAGGUGACUUGUCUAAGGUCACACAGGAAGCUGGCAGAUGAACCAGGUUUCAAACCCAGGUCCACCUGAUUCCACAGCUAGGUCCCGAUGUCCAAGAGCUGCUUGCAGCAAUGAUUUGAACCUUCUUGUUUUCUACCAAAAGGCUUUCCUUUGUAGACUGUCUCUAACAGGCAAAUUAGGUAAGCACCCUGUGGGACAGGGGAUGAAAAAAGAAAGACAUACAGUAUGUUGCAGAAAACUUUUAAAAAGUAUAUCAUCACAUAUUUACAUCUGAUAUCAACCAUAUUCAAUGUACUUUCAUAUACAUCAUCUCUUAGUGUCACCAAAUAUCUGUAUACGGUAAUGAGCGUAAUCUGUAAUUAUGCUCAUUACACACAUUACAAAACAGAGUUUCAGAGAGGUUAAGGGAACUGGCUUUCACAAGAAGUGAGUGGCAGAGACAGAAUUGAAUCCAGAUUUAUCACUUUUAGUGCAGAGCUUUCCCCUUUACCAAACUGGACCAACAUAUAUCCCCACAGCUCUGCCGAAGGGUAAAAGUGCUGCCAUGGAUGUGGAGGAAUUUUAAUAAAAUGGCAGUCACAGUUCAGUCACUUCUAAGAAACCAGGGGCUACUCCAUUUCACCUAGAGGUCUGUGGCAUGCAAGAAAACCUCGUCAGUUGUAAACGGCAAUCUACCAAUGGCCAGAGGCAGCAGCAAAGUAAGAACUUUGAAACUGAAGCAAUGAGCAAGAGAGCUGUCAAGCUGACCACAUCAGCUUGGGCUUUUAUUGGUGUGACAAUAGUGCAGCAUUUUUGAGCUACCAGGCCCAUGACCAUCUUCAAGAAGGAAGCCAAGAAAACCGACAAUUCUCUUAGCUGACACGAAUAUCCACAGCUAUCACCUCCUGUACCAGCUGCUGAAUCUAAUCAGCCAUCCUCUGAGGCAGCUGACUUUAGAGCCUUAGUGUAUUUGGCUGAGAAACCACGUGUGUUACGUGGCUGCCAAAGGCCAGCCUUCUGCGUGAUUGCCAGUGUCUGUAUGUUUUUAUAGAGGAGAGGUCACGAUGCUGCCCCCUGGAGUUCAUUUGAAUCUGACACGUAGCUGUAUGCUGGCCAAGAUACCAGCUCAGAAUGCUUACAACAGUCUAGUUUCAAACGUCUGUCUCUUUGUUGCUGUAAGUUCCUUAUGCUGUGUCAGGCCAUGUGUGCCCUCCCCCCGCCCCAGAAAAUGUAUCCUUUAUAAACAGCAGCAGUUGAAGCUACUGUGCUAUAUUUGGUCCAUUUCUGCAUCUUUUCACCUUGCUCACUCUAAUAUGGCCCAACUCUUAGGAAACUGAAAUUAAAUCAAAGUGUCAUUUUCAACGGUAGAAUAUGCAAGAAUUUUAAGUAUUAAAUGACUAUGAUUAUUAAAUCAGUUUAAUAAUUGUAAUGUUUUCUUCCAAUAAUUUAUAUGAUGACUUGGAUGUGAAAAACUGAUGAACUACAUAAUAACUACAAAUGUACCAUUCCUUUCGGUACAACUUUAAACUUACGUCUCUGUAUUUAAAAAAUCUCUUUUAUUUGGAAAUAACAUUAGUAAUUGCAAUGAAGAAAAUGGAGCAAAGGUCAAAUGCUUUACCUAACAUAUUCCUUUGUCAAAAAAAGAAAACUUGAAAAUUGUUCAAAGUCAGGCAUUAGGUACCUUCUAUAUAUUAAGUAUCAUGCUUGGUGUGAUGCUAAGUGUGAUGUUAUGUUCUUAGAAAGUGUCUGGCUACUUACAUGCAUAUUCCAAGGAAAAUUUAUAUACGGGGAAGAUAUAUUUGAGAAUUCUGCAUUUGUACUGUGUUAAGCAAUAAAAAGUAUACCUUUUUGUUGUCAGGCUUGAGAAAGAGAUCCAAGAUCUUGAAAAAGCUGAACUCCAAAUCUCAAAGAAGGAAGAGGCCAUUUUAAAGAAACUAAAGUCAAUUGAGCGGACAACAGAAGACAUUAUAAGAUCUGUGAAAGUGGAAAGAGAAGAAAGAGCAGAAGAGUCAAUUGAGGACAUCUAUGCUAAUAUCCCUGACCUUCCAAAGUCCUACAUACCUUCUAGGUUAAGGAAGGAAAUAAAUGAAGAAAAAGAAGAUGAUGAACAAAAUAGGAAAGCUUUAUAUGCCAUGGAAAUUAAAGUUGAAAAAGACUUGAAGACUGGAGAAAGUACAGUUCUGUCUUCAAUACCUCUGCCAUCAGAUGACUUUAAAGGUACAGGAAUAAAAGUUUAUGAUGAUGGGCAAAAGUCAGUAUAUGCAGUAAGUUCUAAUCACAGUGCAGCAUACAAUGGCACCGAUGGCCUGGCACCAGUUGAAGUAGAGGAACUUCUAAGACAAGCCUCAGAGAGAAACUCUAAAUCCCCAACAGAGUAUCAUGAGCCUGUAUAUGCCAAUCCCUUUUACAGGCCUACAACCCCACAGACAGAAACAGUGACCCCUGGACCAAACUUUCAAGAACGGAUAAAGAUUAAAACUAAUGGACUGGGUAUUGAUGUCAAUGAAUCCAUACACAAUAUGGACAAUGGUCUUUCAGAGGAAAGGGGAAACAACUUCAAUCACAUCAGUCCCAUUCGGCCAGUGCCUCAUCCCCGAUCAGUGAUUCAACAAGCAGAAGAGAUGCUUCGCACCCCGCAAAAGAGGCUAAUGACUCCUUGGGAAGAAUCGAAUGUCAUGCAGGACAAAGAUGCACCCUCUCCAAAGCCAAGGUUGAGCCCCAGAGAGACAAUAUUUGGGAAAUCUGAACACCAGAAUUCUUCACCCACUUGUCAGGAGGACGAGGAAGAUGUCAGAUAUAAUAUCGUUCAUUCCCUGCCUCCUGACAUAAAUGAUACAGAACCAGUGACGAUGAUUUUCAUGGGGUAUCAGCAGGCAGAAGACAGUGAAGAAGACAAGAAGUUUCUGAUGGGAUAUGAUGGGAUCAUCCAUGCUGAGCUGGUUGUGAUUGAUGAUGAGGAGGAGGAAGAUGAAGGAGAAGUAGAGAAACCGUCCUACCACCCCAUAGCUCCCCAUAGUCAGGUGUACCAGCCAGCCAAACCAACACCACUUCCUAGAAAAAGAUCAGAAGCUAGUCCUCAUGAAAACACAAAUCAUAAAUCCCCCCACAAAAAUUCCAUAUCUCUGAAAGAGCAAGAAGAAAGCUUAGGCAGCCCUGUCCACCAUUCCCCAUUUGAUGUUCAGACAACUGGAGAUGGGACUGAGGAUCCAUCCUUAACAGCUUUAAGGAUGAGAAUGGCAAAGCUGGGAAAAAAGGUGAUCUAAGAGUUGUACCACCUAUAUAAACAUCCUUUGGAGAAGAAACUAAGAAGCAUUUGCAAAUUUCUCUUCUGGAUAUUUUGUUUAUUUUUUCUGAAGUCCAAAAAAUUAUCAUUACAGUGUACCAUAUUAAGCCAUGUGAAUAAGUAGUAGUCAUUAUUUGUGAAAAAUUCCCAAAAAGCUGGGGAAAACAAAUGUGUAACUUUUCCAGUUACUUGACAUGAUUCAGUGGGGGAAAACCAGCAUUUUUUAUUCUAUUGAUACCAAAGCAUUUCUAAUAAGAGCUUGUUAAAUUUAAGAAUAAAGUUGUUUAAAAUAUUCUGAGUAUAGUAUAUUAACUGGCAUUGUAAUUUUGAUGAUACAAAGAUCGAAAGAUCAUAGGAAAGCAUUGCACUUCAUCACAGAAAUAUUCAACUUUGACAAAUAAAUAUGUCAUCCUGAAUUAAUAAUGCCUUAAUAAAAGUACAUCCUCCUGCUAAGUAUCA
RNAcentral lists this small RNA (5293 nucleotides) under Pongo abelii (Sumatran orangutan). RNAcentral describes it as "retained intron". Lineage: Eukaryota; Metazoa; Chordata; Mammalia; Primates; Hominidae. The record is from RNAcentral.